GGUAGAUUUGACUUGGCCUUGGCUGCCUGUUACAGACAUUUUACAUUCUGUAUUACGCAUGCCAACUUCCUAAUCUUAUCACACCACCUAACUGACUGUCGUCCUCGAUAGCACUUAUAAACCCCCGUUUAUCUGCCCUACGCAUUAAUGACCCGCCCAGCUCCAUCUUUUCCUCUAAAUGUAAACUAGAAUAACAGUUAGCCCUAACAAUCCACUUCGCGCUCUUCUUGUCCCUGAACGAGAGGUGCAAUGGUUUUCUUCUCAAGGUUCCUUGUUGAUCCCAAUGUUUCUGUUCAGUAUGUUAGCACCCGCACAAAACAAUGAUUGCACAUACUUCAAAGGUACCGGUAAUCUGCCGGUCAUGAUUUCGUAAUUCGUGCCGUAUGCGUUCCAGCCGAUUUUAUUCUUUCUUUCAAUUUCCUUUUCAUGAUCGCGGUCACCUUUGACUGGUCGACUUCGAUGUGCGUAUUCUUUCGCCGAUUCUUGAGGUUGACUAACAAGCGCGCAUUUUCAUUCUCUUGCUCGGCAAUUGAACAUUACCUUAGUCUUCUGCUUAUUAAUAGUCAACCUUACUCUUCUAUUCUGUCGACUUGGUCUUACCAUAAAGAUCAUACCUUACGUGUAACACCAAAUCUGAUAAUAGAAAAAAAGGUAGCACAGCGCAGGGAUAUACAUGGAGUAAUUUGGGUAAGCCACAUCUGGGGCAAUCACUUCUCGGGCGAUCAUUUUCAGAGACGAUCAUGCCGGAUCUGUGCGAGUAUACGGCCGAAAGCGUUUCUGGUCCUGUGCCAAGCUCGCUAUCUGAAUGGUGUACAGAAUAGACGGUCAACGUUUGGUGCCCUCACCUCCUUCACCGUGUUUCUCACAUAGGUGUGCGUUGUCUUCUUUUUCAUUGGCACCGGGGACGAACGGCACGAGUUCGACAUGUUCGUGUCCUGCACCCAUCUUUCGGGCAAAGACGAUGCUGGCCUUUCGUGCGUCACGACCGGGUGAAGCGGGGGAGGCAGCACAGGGGCCGACUGCACAAGUCAAACCAGCGAGCCAUGCAGAAGUGGCCAGAGACAUGGACCGAGGAAUGCACAGUGAAAGCCGAGUCCAUCCAAGACGUGCUCCCGGAGCCCUUAUAUUCCAGAAGAAGGCUCCCAGAAGCAGGGAGGUGGUGGCGGCAACCAACAGACGACGAAAGAAUGGGCCAGCAUCUUUCCGAAGAAUCGCGCCCUGUAGGCGUCCAUGGGCGCAUGGUCAGGGAAGCCCUGGUCAGAGAGCGUCCCUUGCCGGCAGCGGAACACUAAGACCCAGUUCUUCAUCCGCUGCCUGGACUCGAACAUCGCCUCUGGUGACGGGUUGUCCAGCGCCACUCGGGCGACUGUGGUGUGCAAGGUUCACCUGACUACAGGGGCAGUGAGAUGAACAGCAUCCGCAGCCUCACGCUCACGUCAGGCCACAGGUGCCAAAUGCGAGCAACGUAGGUGACACAGUGCUCCAGCCUUGCCGGUGGCAUGAACAGUCGGCGAUGUGUCCGCGCAGCCGGCUGCUCCCCUUUGGAUGUCUCUCGGCCAAGAUGUCCAGCAGGGUAGCAGCGUGCUCACCAGAAGUGGCGAUGAUGGUGAGGAUCUCCCCGCACCGGACUUGGAACGACAAUACCAAGAUCGGGAGCAACUUGGUGCGAGACUACCAAACAGCCGCUGACCCAGGCUGGAGAGGUUCACUUGAAACGUCAGGCAACGACGACCUGGCCAUUUGCACCGUGGCUGGAAAUUCCGACAAACGCGUGGUUACACACACAAAUAAAAAGAGCGAAAACAGCGCAGGCCAUAAGGCCAGAAGACGACGAUGGCGACGGGCAACACCCAGGACGUGGGAGACGAUUCACAACUUCAUUUACCUUGAGUCGAACUAAUUAUAAGCAUUUGCAGAGUAGAACCUGGGUAGCCUAAGAAUAUUUGGUGGCAGGUCAUCGAAAUAGGGCAUCAAUAACACGGAGGCUUUUCUAGUUAUCGAGAUGGCAAAGGCAUAGCGAAGAAGUGAAAUGUUGGUGGAUUGCAUAGAUAUCUUAAAGGACUGAAUGAAUCAAUCCUUCUCUAACGAGAAGGAGGAACGAAUGCCACUGGUGGGGAGGAGGGACAUACGAAGGAGAGGUAGACACCCACUAAGUCGCGGCAGCCAGGCCGCUGCAACGCCGAAGUGGGCUAACUUUACUGGGUGAUCGGGGUUUUCGAGAAUGUCGUUCUGUGAAGUUUCGAUAUGGCAAUGUAGAAAAAAAAAAUAUUGCCAUCGUCUUGACAGUUAUUGAGCGUGGGACAGUGUAAAAUGAGACGCUGCAAGUUUGCUUCGCAUACGGAGUGGAAGAAGGCGCAUAUUCGGUGGCAGAGGCGUCAGUGCCCUUAUGGUCAGCCAACGAAGGCCGUUUGUGAAUUAUGUCAGGGGUAGUGUCUGUGUUGGUAAGUACAUUACGAAUAUUUCCCGCAAUCAGGUGAGGGCGAGGUCGCUAAACAUGCGAGGAGGGAAGAGAUGUUUUUCUCCCUCUUCGUGUACUUGAGGAUGCGGCGUAUUCGUGCCAUUUCGAAGUAUGAGUUGGGCAGCAAAACCGCAUAGGAGUGGUCACCAAGAUCGUCAGACCCGCGUAAGAAAGGUUGGAGACUAAGGUAGACCACAGGCUGUGAGGUGGCAAGGCCAUGCACCACCUCGUUACCUCCAGUACCCCGAUGUGUCCAGGCAUUGACCCUGGACACGUGGGACAAUGGCAUUCACUCUAACGUCAAUGCCAUUCUUCGGCUUGCGCUAUGUAAUCUGGCGGAUUCUUACAGCAGUGACAUUUUCCACACCGGGAACCACGCACGACUGCAAAUUUUGGUAAGAUGUUCACAGCAGCGUAAGCUAUUCGCCUAUUGAGGUUUUCACCAUGGUGGU
Molecule: long non-coding RNA, 2910 nt
Organism: Dermacentor andersoni
Lineage: Eukaryota; Metazoa; Arthropoda; Arachnida; Ixodida; Ixodidae
Source: RefSeq, a predicted model, not a curated record